Cricetulus griseus (Chinese hamster) is the source of this 381-nucleotide non-coding RNA. NCBI's taxonomy places the organism in Eukaryota, Metazoa, Chordata, Mammalia, Rodentia, Cricetidae. The record is from the annotation of a RefSeq genome assembly.
CUCACCAUGGGAUGGAGCUGUAUCAUUCUCUUUCUUGUGUCAGUAACUACAGGUGUCCACUCCCAGGUCCAGCUGCGGCAGUCUGGGGCUGAACUGGUGAGACCUGGGUCCUCAGUGAAGUUGUUCUGCAAGGCUCCAGGUUACACCUUCACUUACUACGUCAUGCACUGGAUGAAGCAAAAAACUGGACAGGGCCUAGAGUGCAUUGGAGUCAUUAAUCCUGAAAAUGGUAAUACUGAUUGCAAUCAGAAGUUCAAGGGAAAGGCUACACUGACUGCAGACACAUUCUCUAGCACAGCCUAUAUGGAGCUUAGCAGCCUGACAUCUGAGGACUCUGCAGUCUAUUACUGUUGGACACACAGUGUUGUAACCACAUCCUGA